UACUGUGCAGGGUCAUGGAGACACAUGCCACACGGUGGCCUCGUUCCACCGCCAAAUGAUCGUUAACCCAGUACAACAUCCAUUGUGUCCUUCAGAGCUGACAAAGGGAUGGAACGGUGUGUUGAACGUGACAGUCAGUCUUUGCUGAGUCCCUUCCACUAAUGCCCAGUGCUUGUGGCCAUUGCAACGGCCUUACUGCAUGAUUCAAUUGUUCCAGUGCAUUGGUGUUACUUGAGCAGGUUUUAUGAACAGGUCAUUAGAGGUGCUGUUUACGGAUGACCGCCCUAUUUGCCUUUUAUUGCCACUUACUAGCAGGAGGCGAUUUCCUUGAUGGUGUAGUAUUUUGGAAAUCUGUUAGUAUGGUUAUGGAAGGUUUAUAAUUAUAAUAUAAU
This 392-nucleotide long non-coding RNA is filed under the name Volvox carteri. Its description in RNAcentral is "long non-coding RNA (VCAR_LNC003329)". The record is from RNAcentral. Lineage: Eukaryota; Viridiplantae; Chlorophyta; Chlorophyceae; Chlamydomonadales; Volvocaceae.